This 85-nucleotide transfer RNA is filed under the name Microcaldota archaeon. RNAcentral's name for it is "tRNA-Leu". It matches the Rfam family "tRNA". Rfam says of the family: Transfer RNA (tRNA) molecules are approximately 80 nucleotides in length. Their secondary structure includes four short double-helical elements and three loops (D, anti-codon, and T loops). Lineage: Archaea; Nanobdellati; Microcaldota. The record is from RNAcentral.
GGAGGGAUAGCAAAGCCUGGCCAAAUGCGAUAGACUCAAGAUCUAUUCUCUUAGGAGUUCGGGGGUUCAAAUCCCUCUCCCUCCA